UGUACGCCGAAGAAUUCGCUCUUACUUUUGGAACAAAGGAUUUACUUAAAAACGCGCAAAAUAUAUGUUAAGUGGAAAAGGAUGUGGGGUUGCACAGACAACUAGGAUGUUAGCUCAGAAGCAGCUAUCAUUCAAAGAGUGCGUAAUAGCUCACUAGUCGAGUGACCCUGCGCCGAAAAUGUACCGGGGCUAAACAUAUUACCGAAGCUUUGGAUUGAUUUAAUCAAUGGUAGGAGAGCGUUCUAUUCAGCGACGAAGGUAUACCGUGAGGAGUGCUGGAGCGAAUAGAAGUGAGAAUGCCGGUAUGAGUAGCGCAAGACAAGUGAGAAUCUUGUCCACCGUAAGACUAAGGAUUCCAGGGGAAGGCUCGUCCGCCCUGGGUUAGUCGGGACCUAAGGCGAGGCCGAAAGGCGUAGUCGAUGGACAACAGGUUGAUAUUCCUGUACUAGAAUGUAUCGUGAAGGAGGGACGCAGGAGGCUAAGGGAAGCCAGUUAAUGGAUUCUGGUCUAAGCCGUGAGGUGUGAGGUGUGUCAAAUGCAUGCUUCUAUAACAUUGAGCGGUAAUGGGGAAGCUACUUCGGUAGCGAAGUCCCUGAUGUCACACUGCCAAGAAAAGCUUCUAGCGAAAAGUACAUUCUACCCGUACCGCAAACCGACACAGGUAGUCGAGGCGAGUAGCCUCAGGUGAUCGAGCGAACUCUCGUUAAGGAACUCGGCAAAAUGACCCCGUAACUUCGGGAGAAGGGGUGCUCAUUUAACAGUGAGCCGCAGUGAAAAGGUCCAAGCAACUGUUUAUCAAAAACACAGCUCUCUGCAAAACCGCAAGGUGACGUAUAGGGGGUGACGCCUGCCCGGUGCUGGAAGGUUAAGAGGAGAUGUUAGCUUCGGCGAAGCAAGCCCCAGUAAACGGCGGCCGUAACUAUAACGGUCCUAAGGUAGCGAAAUUCCUUGUCGGGUAAGUUCCGACCCGCACGAAAGGCGUAAUGAUUUGGAUACUGUCUCAACGAGAGACUCGGUGAAAUUUUAGUACCUGUGAAGAUGCAGGUUACCCGCGACAGGACGGAAAGACCCCAUGGAGCUUUACUGCAGAUUGAUAUUGAGUACCUGUAAGUCAUGUACAGGAUAGGUAGGAGCCGAUGAAGUUGGGACGCCAGUUUCAACAGAGGCGCUGUUGGGAUACUACCCUUGACUUAUGGUUACUCUAACCCGCGCACCUGAUCGGUGUGGGAGACAGUGUCUGUCGGGCAGUUUGACUGGGGCGGUCGCCUCCUAAAGAGUAA
This 1280-nucleotide ribosomal RNA is filed under the name termite gut metagenome. Its description in RNAcentral is "bacterial LSU rRNA". It matches the Rfam family "Bacterial large subunit ribosomal RNA", at positions 950 to 2300 of the family's 2925-position model. The record is from RNAcentral.